GGGCAGAUGGCCGAGUGGUCUAAGGCGCUAGUUUUAGGCACUAGUCUUCGGGCGUGGGUUCAAAUCCCACUCUGCUCA
RNAcentral lists this transfer RNA (78 nucleotides) under Puccinia graminis f. sp. tritici CRL 75-36-700-3. RNAcentral describes it as "tRNA-Leu (TAG) (tRNA-Leu-TAG-2-1, tRNA-Leu-TAG-4-1)". It matches the Rfam family "tRNA". From Rfam's summary of the family: Transfer RNA (tRNA) molecules are approximately 80 nucleotides in length. Their secondary structure includes four short double-helical elements and three loops (D, anti-codon, and T loops). The record is from RNAcentral. RNAcentral also lists the same sequence under 1 other name. Lineage: Eukaryota; Fungi; Basidiomycota; Pucciniomycetes; Pucciniales; Pucciniaceae.